Molecule: ribosomal RNA, 168 nt
Filed under: Shigella sonnei
Lineage: Bacteria; Pseudomonadati; Pseudomonadota; Gammaproteobacteria; Enterobacterales; Enterobacteriaceae
Description: partial 16S ribosomal RNA
Rfam family: Bacterial small subunit ribosomal RNA
Source: RNAcentral
AAAUUGAAGAGUUUGAUCAUGGCUCAGAUUGAACGCUGGCGGCAGGCCUAACACAUGCAAGUCGAACGGUAACAGGAAACAGCUUGCUGUUUCGUUGACGAGUGGCGGACGGGUGAGUAAUGUCUGGGAAACUGCCUGAUGGAGGGGGAUAACUACUGGAAACGGUAG